UGGGCUAGGUUUGGGUCAGUGCAGUUUCAAAUCCAAGUAAUUUGCAAUCAAUGUUCAAUUCAUAUUUAAAAUAGAUCAUAUUUUUUGAUCCAAGCCUCAUCCCAAUAAUUUGGCUUGGACUGGACCAGAUCAUUUUCAGGUUUAUUCCAGAAUAAAAGCAAUUCACAAUCCUCUCCACUUGCAGCCCUAAUCUUUAUGU
This 199-nucleotide long non-coding RNA is filed under the name Elaeis guineensis (African oil palm). RNAcentral describes it as "long non-coding RNA (EGUI_LNC078212)". Lineage: Eukaryota; Viridiplantae; Streptophyta; Magnoliopsida; Arecales; Arecaceae. The record is from RNAcentral.